GGCAAUGGGUCCAAGUGGAGAAAGUGAGAUAGUUGCAAUUUCUGUAACAGCGUCAGAGGAUGCAUUAAAACUUUAAUGCAUCCUCUGGUUCUAGAGACAUUUAAAUUGAAAAAUCUAAAAUGGACAGAAAUAGUCACUUUUUUACUGAUAAAGACAUGGCAGAGCGUGACUCUCUGCGAACAACAGUUCCCAGUAUUGCUGUUAUGCUUGUUUCAUGUCUCGCGUUCAAUGAGCAGAGAAGUGACUGUUUUAAAAAUGGGCAUUUGCCAAAGUCAAAGGUUAUAUGCAUUUAGACCAACACUUCAAAAAAUGGCAUAUGCAUCGUCAGAAUUACAAUUUUAAAAACUUUAUCAUGACUUUAUUGAAAAAAUGCCAGACAGUGUGGUUAGUUACUUUAAAACCAACUAGAAUAAUCGCAUAACUGAGUGGGUGUUUUGUUAUCAGCAAAAAAAUUUGACUUUUGAACAAAGAACAACAAACAGAUUAGAGUCUGUAAACCGAAGAAUAAAAUCUGUUUUAAACCUAUUAAACCCUCUUCCAAUACUUUUUAAAGAUCCUUAUUUUGUUACAGAUGUAAUAUGUAAGGAGUGCAAUCAUAACUUUGUUCUUGAUAAUGAUGUUUUAGAGGAGUUUUCUAAAAUUCUAACACCUUAUGCUUUAAGUUUUAAUAGAAGUCAGUUACGUGAAGCACUAAAGUUACACCCUGGAGGCGAUAAUAAUAAUCCAUUAUCUGAAAUUUUAGGAUAGGAGGUAUCAAUAAGUGGGCUUAGUUGCCAUUGUAUUUUUUAUAAAUCCAUGGGAUUACCUUGAAAAUACAGGUUUGUAGUGAGGCGAAUAAAGCAAUUACCAAUAUUUUCAUUUGACGGCAUUUCAAUAAGAUGGUUCAAAUCUCAUGCUACUGAAAAUCAUCACUUUUUUCAACACCAAAACAAAAACCAUAAUCAUCUAGGAUUUGGUGUAUUAAAAGAAAGACCUAUAACACAAACUGAAAAGUUUAAAAGAGCAAAUUGUAUCUCUGAGCGAUUAGCACAACUUGUUUCUGAAGGAGGGAAAAGUGAGUUUGAAAGCUAAAUAAACAUCCUUUAAAAUUUAGUUAAUAUUUGGGAAGAACAUAAACAUGCAGAGAUAACUGUUUUGGACUCAGUGGAUUUAGUAAUUGAUACUACAUCAAAAUGUGCUGUGAGUUCUAGAAGCAACCAUAACAAAUUGUGUGAUUCAACAAAAAAAGCAUUUGUUUUGUCGACAACUAACUUAGGUUUGAUUUUAACAUGCAAUGAAACCUUAAAUAAGAAUAAUCACAAUUAAACGUUGCUACAUUUAGAGCAAUUGCCACUAGAUUUACACCAUACAAUUUUGAAAAAAGUGGAUUGAAUUUUGCCGAAAUAUCUAAUCAACAUCAUAAUGAUAAUAUUGAAGUUCGUGAUCAAACUUCGAUUAACAUAGUAAAAAUCUGAUAGAAGACAGUGAAUUUGUAAAUCAGCUAUGAGUAUUGAAAUUAAGCAAGGAGAUGAGUUUUCUGAGUUUGAAAAUGAAUUGAUUGCAUGGUCGAGUUUACAAAUGUUUUAUGGACUAAAUCUAACAGCAAAACUGUAACAUUAGCAAACAGGCUUGUGCUUGAGCUUGCGCAAUGGUUCUAAACCUAAAAGUUUAAAUUUAGAAAUGUGAUAUAUUUAUGAGCAGAAGGGAAAGGACUUCGUCCUAAUCAAAGUUUUUUAAUUGGGAAUAGCUGAAGACGAAAUGAUUAGACGUGAAGUAAGAAGAACUUUGCAUUCUGAUGUUAUAUUUUAUAUAUUUGAAAUAUGGAAAUAUAUACUUUUUUUUA
Hydra vulgaris (swiftwater hydra) is the source of this 1822-nucleotide long non-coding RNA. RefSeq lists it as uncharacterized. The record is from RefSeq and is a predicted model, not a curated record. Lineage: Eukaryota; Metazoa; Cnidaria; Hydrozoa; Anthoathecata; Hydridae.